CUACCUCUUCGUCUAUGCCACGGCCGGACCCGACCCGACUCGAGCCGCCCUCCUCCGACCCUGUCUCCCUCCUCUGAUCUCCUCUACGACGAGCAACGCCCCCUCCCUCAUCCCCUUGGCACGAGAGCAGCGACCCCGCCGGCCCGCCGCUCGCCUUCUCCGGUGACGAGCCUCGCCUCGCCUCGCCUCGCAACCUCCUUCCUCCCCCAUCACCCUCCGUCCCGUCCAUCCCCAUAGCUGGCGAGAUGUUACGACCUCACCUCCCAGCCCCCUACUGCACAGAUCCACCCGUCCCUGCCCCAUGCUCCGUUCAUUUCGAUCCCAUCCCAUCCCAUCAUCUCUAGGGUUCGAUUUCGUUGCAGCUGGUGGAUCAGCUGGGAGUCCACAAGAUGCCCGCUCCCUACGUGUUGUCCCUGCAGCCAAAUGCGCCCUCACGGAAUCCGUUAGUUUUGAAUCUGAUGAUGUAUCUGCUCCCGAUUUUGUUUCGAGAUUUCGGCUUGACGUCGUGAGGAAAAAAAACAUUUCGCGACAAAUCCUUGUGGAUACUCGGCUUGUACCGUGAUUCCCUUUAAAUCCUCUCCAGUAUGAUUGUCUUGCUUGAUGUAAAUGCAAUUGCAAAUAUUCAAUUUGUCACCGGCAAGUUUGCCUCUGUUAUUUGCUGAUUUUGUGCUUAUCAUCACACAGGUCCAACUUUUUCCUAAAACAUACUGUACUAGCUUGUAUCUUCAAUGCAGAGUCCUGAAUAGCCCGCUGCCGGUAGGGGCAUUAACCAGCUUCCGAGGAAACCAUUCAGAGCCAGUCUUCUUCUGCAAGUUCCACUGUUGUACUAGGACGAAUCUCCUUCUUCGGCGACCGGCCUCCAUUCCAUCCCCCCACGCUACCAGACAGACGGCACUCGGCAGAUCUACACAGGCGGAGAUCCCUGUUUGUCUGCGGUCCUCCAUAGCCAUGUUUUAUCACUCUAGUUUCACUGACGAUGGCGGGAUCACAAAAGCCUGUGGGUAUCCUUUGCUUCCACUAAAAACUCAUAUCAAGGGCCCAGCCCCAGCCUCAGAUCCAGAUAAAGCGGAUAUAAUUGAUGAAGCGAUAACUUUCUUCCGAGCAAAUGUUUUCUUCAAAAACUUCCAUGUCAAAAGCCUAGCAGGCAAGUUGCUCAUCUAUCUGACAUCUUACAUCAAUAUUGCCUUGAAAUGACUAGAAAGCUGCCGGACACUGGCUGUUGGAAUUAAGGCAAUUAUUAACCUGGGGUUGGAAAAUGUUCCUGUGCCUGGGGAACCAGGGUUUCCUUUCCCUGGACUUUUCACUCUUCCCGAAUCCCAGGAGGAAGCAGAAUUGUUGAGGAACUAUCUGAAGCAGAUAAGGGAGGAAACAAGUGGGAGGCUGCUCAACUGUGCAUACAGAGCUAAUGGCACUCCAAACAAAUGGUGGUUGGCUUUUGCAAAGAGGAAGUUCAUGAACCUUGUUAUCCUUUAGAAUGUAAUUACGCAAUUAAGCAACAGGUUAGAGGUGUUUUUGUGUAUAUCCUUAUUUCACUCGCGCAUUUAUCAUAUGAUGAUGUAAAUAAUCUUUCUUCUGAACUAUUGAAGUAUACAAUGCCAAAAACAGUUUCUUGCAA
This is an RNA transcript of Hordeum vulgare subsp. vulgare (domesticated barley), 1615 nucleotides long. It is a transcript of the gene named actin-related protein 2/3 complex subunit 3-like, with no coding region annotated. Lineage: Eukaryota; Viridiplantae; Streptophyta; Magnoliopsida; Poales; Poaceae. The record is from RefSeq and is a predicted model, not a curated record. The transcript has 5 exons.